UUAAAUUAAUGUACUACUUCUCAGGUUUUUUCUGGGCUAGGACCUUCAAAAAAAUCCGCUUAGGUUAUAUUUGUGGUAACCAGAUUUAUUUUUCAGAAUAUUUGAGCAGGUUUAUUUUGAAUGUGUACAACUGAAAGUUAUCCGGGAUUACUUAUAUUACCAGUUAAUAGGUAAUUCCAUAAUUUAUUUUGAAAAAUCUUAGUCCAUAUAUACUUAGUUUGAGAUAAUUAUUACUGAUAUCUGAAGUUGAUUUUUAUAAAUUAAGGUAAGAGCACCAGUGGUAGACUCGAAAAAAUAUUGAUUUCAGUUUUAGUGGUAUUGAGCAUGGACCGUAUGAAUUCAAAAUUAGAGAUUAUUUUCUUGAUGGGAGCAGAUCAAGAUUGAAAAAAUACAAAAAUGUGUAUGUAAACAGAUACAUUGCUGUAACCUCUCUCAUUAAUAUUACAAUACUUCCAUAAACAUAAUAAAUCAAAACGGUAAUUAACUAAUAAAGUUUGAAUCAAAGCUAACGAAAAAAUUAAUCUACCUACUAUUGAAAAUUUAAACUGAAAUUGUUUAAAUUAAUUAAAGGUAACUGCAACUCAGUUAUGAUAGACUUUUUAAAGCGUACAUACAGUAAAAAAUAUUAUUUAUUAUGUUUUGUUAUAUUUUAUGUUGUUUUAACAAUUUCUAUUUAUCAAAAAGGAAAGUAUAUAAAAAAUAAUUUUUAACUGAAACUUUUGUAUUAUAAUUUUUAAAAAUCUCUCUAGCUAUAACAUUAGAUUCUGAUUACAUAAAAAACAUCUGUGCAAAUAUUUUUCUUAAUUUAUCUAACUUUAAACAGAUUUAUGUUAAAUAACAGCUGGCAUGCUAAUGAAUUUCAAUGGAAGAGGAAGUGUUCACAUUUCAAAAUAAAUGAAAUUGACUCCUGUUCUCAAUACUGGAAAAUGCAAGAAAACUGUGUAGAGAGUAGAAUUUUAUUCUAAAAUAGCAAUAGGAUAUAUUAAUAAAAUUUAAAUAAAAUCUGAACGGAUUUAUAGGAAAAAUAAAAACCUAAUUGUGCUCACUGAUGCUUGAUAUGGCAAAUACUCGUCAAAAUUUUAAGCUCCCGAAUGUUGUAACAUUAAUUUGGAAAUACCCUGAAUAUACAAGCUAUGGGUAUCUGAAGAAAUUUUGUCAAAUUAUAUUCCAUGAAAUUUUCCCCUCAAAGACGAGUAACGUUCUGGUCGGUCUACCGAAGUUGAUGGUGAGCAAAUCAAGUCAUAAUUGAAGAGGAUCGUCAUAACUGUUCGAGAGGCUGCGAAGAGGAUACAUGAAUCGUGCACAACAAACACACAAACUACUUAGGCUAGUUAAGAAGCUUGAUAUUUACCUCACGAAUUGAAAGAAAUUAAUUUAAUACAAAGAAUCAACAUUUGCGAUAUGCAGCUUAAACGAAAUGAAAACGACCCUUUCUUGAAAAGAAUCAUCACUGCUGAUGAAAAAUAGGUCCUGUACGUAACAUAGUUCCAAUACGAUCGUGGAGCAAACACGAUGAACCAGCACAAACCACAUCGAAGCUGAAAAACAACAAAAAGGCUCAU
Long non-coding RNA from Diorhabda sublineata, 1562 nucleotides. RefSeq lists it as uncharacterized. The record is from RefSeq and is a predicted model, not a curated record. Lineage: Eukaryota; Metazoa; Arthropoda; Insecta; Coleoptera; Chrysomelidae. The transcript is spliced from 3 exons.